AUCCAGCUAACGAGUCCGAAAGAGGACGAAAUGCACGUCCUGAAU
RNAcentral lists this non-coding RNA (45 nucleotides) under Schistosoma margrebowiei. The record is from RNAcentral. Lineage: Eukaryota; Metazoa; Platyhelminthes; Trematoda; Strigeidida; Schistosomatidae.